RNAcentral lists this transfer RNA (62 nucleotides) under Baicaloclepsis grubei. RNAcentral describes it as "tRNA-Lys". Lineage: Eukaryota; Metazoa; Annelida; Clitellata; Rhynchobdellida; Glossiphoniidae. The record is from RNAcentral.
UAAUUAGAGAGCUUGUAUAAGCAUUCGACUUUUAAUCGAAAGAAAGUUAAAACUUCUAAUUA